Molecule: ribosomal RNA, 815 nt
Filed under: Desulfovibrio desulfuricans
Lineage: Bacteria; Pseudomonadati; Thermodesulfobacteriota; Desulfovibrionia; Desulfovibrionales; Desulfovibrionaceae
Description: partial 23S ribosomal RNA
Rfam family: Bacterial large subunit ribosomal RNA
Source: RNAcentral
AUACAAGCAAAAUAAGAGCAUCGGGUGGAUGCCUUGGCGUCGGAAGGCGAUGAAAGACGCGGUAAGCUGCGAUAAGCCUCGGGGAGGAGCUAAACAUCCCUUGAUCCGAGGAUUUCUGAAUGGGGAAACCCGGCGGGAGUCAUGUCCCGUCACUGGUAGACGAAUACAUAGUCUGCCAAGUGCCAACUCAGGGAAGUGAAACAUCUCAGUACCUGAAGGAAAGGAAAUCAAACGAGACUCCCUCAGUAGCGGCGAGCGAAGGGGGAAUAGCCCAAACCGUGUGGAUCCGUCCAUGCGGGGUUGUAGGGCCGGCAUACGUGAUUCUGGAGUAGGCAGGGGAAGGAAGCUGGAAAGCUUCGCCAGAGCGGGUGAUAGCCCCGUACCCGAAACUGAAAAGGACACAGCCGGUACCUGAGUACUGCGAGGCACGUGAAACCUCGUGGGAAUCUGGGAGGACCAUCUUCCAAGGCUAAGUACUAACCGACGACCGAUAGUGCACCAGUACCGUGAGGGAAAGGUGAAAAGAACCCCUGUCAGGGGAGUGAAAUAGAAUCUGAAACCUGAUGCUUACAAGCUGUGGGAGCACCCUUGUGGUGUGACCGCGUGCCUUUUGCAUAAUGAGUCAGCGAGUUAAUCUGUACUGCAAGGUUAAGCGUAAGUGGAGCCGUAGCGAAAGCGAGUCUGAUAAGGGCGUUUAGUAGUGCGGAUUAGACCCGAAACCGGGUGAUCUAUCCAUGAGCAGGUUGAAGCAAGGGUAAAACCUUGUGGAGGACCGAACCAUUAACGGCUGAAAACGUUUUGGAUGACUUGUGGAU